This 2080-nucleotide long non-coding RNA is filed under the name Canis lupus dingo (dingo). RNAcentral describes it as "lncRNA (ENSCAFG00020012620.1)". The record is from RNAcentral. Lineage: Eukaryota; Metazoa; Chordata; Mammalia; Carnivora; Canidae.
CAGUGUUUGGUUUGGCUUCAGAAAUUCAACCCAGCGUUCUUCUGAGAGCUUGCAGGCCUCGAGUGUAGCUGGGCUGGUGUCUCCCCUGGUCUGAGACCAGGUCUGCAAUGACGCUUAUACCGCCUGAGGCGCCCAGGGGACGCAGGGGAGGGCUUGGGCGCCGCCAGCUCGGCCCAGGACGCCCAGGACCCCACCGCCUCGUUACCUGGAACCCUGGCGACUGCGUAAAAUAAGGGCUGAGCAAGGCAGGAGGAUGAUCCGCCAUCAUCUGGAAGCCCCUUGACAGGACAGCAUCUUCCGAUUUGUCAGGGUUCACAACUCUCCUCCUGUCUUCAUCAACCCACUGGAUGGAAAAUCCAAACCAGCCUCCCCGGGGUGCAGGCUGCUCGGUGCUGCCUUCCUGGGAUUCCUCCCCUGUGGGUUUUAUCAGGUGGAAAUGAGCAAAAGGACCGUGCAAACGACGACCUGCUUCUCCCCUUUGCUUUGCCUCUUUAUUCUGCUCCAGGCUCUCUUGGGAAAAUGCUCAUUUCUGUGAGAACGGGCCUUCCCAGAGCCCAAACGCGGGGAGGAGGGAAACCCGGUAGGAGGAAAGAAAAUGGGUGGCUUUUGUUCUGGAAAGGAGCCUUUUCAGGAGGGAGAGCCUGCUUUGUGGGUGGCUGGGCAGGAAGGGAGCUGUGAGGUCAAAUCCUUGCUCCACAGGGUCUCCGGAUGUUCUCAAUUCAGAGGCAGCACAUCCCUCCGGGGAACCUGGGUCACCCGCGGCUGGUCCCACCUGCACACCCCCUGCUGUGAACCCCAGCUGAGAAGCCCCUCAGCCCUGCUUGGAUCCCCUGAGCCAGCCUGCCCUCCGGGGCGAUGCCAGCAUCCCCGAGUGAUGACACGACGACGGAGAGCUACGGCUGCUGCUGCGAGGAUCCUCCACGUGUCAAACCCGCCCCGCCCUCUGAAGCCCACGUGGCAGCAGGAUCACCCCCCCUCCCCCCCACGAAGGCUCCAGGGCAGGAUUCCCUUGCUCGUCUUUGGCUUCUGCCAGCAAUCCACAGCAUCCUCGGCUGCAUCACUGGCUGUCCUCUCUCUGGGUCCCUGUGCCGUCAUCACACGGUCUUCUUGCAGAUUUGCCAGUCAUUGAUUUCAGAGCCACUCCUAAUUCAGCAGGAUCUCGACUUGAUUUAAUACCAUCCACAGAGACCCUGUUUGCAAAUAAGAUCACGCUCACAGGUCUGGAUGGGCAUGGUUGGGGGGGGGGGUGGAUACUAUUCAGCCCCAUAGACUCCGCCUGGGCCUAUACUGGGUUGUACUUUCUGUGCUCCCCCCCAUCCUCGGAGCAACCUGCGGCCACAGGCACAGCUAACAUUCCCACGGUGCCGAUGAGAGAGUAGGGGCUCAGAGCGGUUCAGUGGCAGGUGUCCGAGGUCACGCAGUUGGAGCAACAGUGAUGCUGUGAUUGGAACUCAGGGCAGCCUGACCCUGGAGCUGUCUGGCUCUGUGGAAACCUCUUGAAUGUCUGGCCCUCCAAGCACUGAACCCAAGAGCAGCCCAAGUGAGAAUCCUCUGGUUCACAAGCUCAUUUCUUUGGGCCACUUGUUUCUAGAGCCUCUUACUAAGCAGUUGGCCCUGACCAGCCCAUGUUGGGGGCACAAGGGAUGAAAAGUUUCUCUGGGCAAAUUUGUGGAGACAGCACAGAGUGGCGGGUGCUAGGAGGGCCUGCUAGGGGCUAUGACAUCUCCUCUGGGGUGAAGCGAUGUCCUGGAACAAGAUAGAGGUGGUGGCUGCACAACCUUGAAUGUGCUAACCUCACGGAAUUGUGCACUUUACCACACUUAAUUUUAUGUGACUUUUACCCAGGAUUUUUUUUCUGUCUUCAUAUUUUUCCUUUAUCUAAAAAUCUCACCACUAGGAGCACCUGGGUGGCUCAGUGGUUGAGCAUCUGCCUUUGGCUCAGGGUGUGAUCCCAGGGUCCUGGGAUUGAGUCCUGCUUCGGGCUCCUCGCGGAAGCCUGCUUCUCCCUCUGCCUGUGUCUUUGCCUCUGUGUCUCUUAUGAUUAAAUAAAUAAAAUCUUUAUAAGAAGUAAAAUAAAAUC